GUCUAUGGCCAUACUAACCUGAUCCUGGACGCUAAGAAGGGAUGGUCCUGGCCAAAACUUGAAUAGGAGUCCUUCUGGGAAUACCAGGUGCUGUAGGUU
This is a ribosomal RNA of Cercocebus atys (sooty mangabey), 99 nucleotides long. Lineage: Eukaryota; Metazoa; Chordata; Mammalia; Primates; Cercopithecidae. The record is from Ensembl.